This 334-nucleotide unclassified non-coding RNA is filed under the name Hevea brasiliensis (rubber tree). Lineage: Eukaryota; Viridiplantae; Streptophyta; Magnoliopsida; Malpighiales; Euphorbiaceae. The record is from RNAcentral.
GCGUAAGCUAAAUUGAAGAGCAAUAUAUAUCCGGCUAAUGCCCCUACUCCUAACCAAUACCAAUAUGCAUUUGGGAAGAACCCACGACUUUUCAUAAAUUGAACUCCUAGGGAAUCUGAUGAGUUUGAGUUGCCGGAAUAUGACUCCAACUGUGCCCCAAAAACUCAUUAGCAACAAUUGCAUUCUGCCCAUACAUCAGUGGUGAUACCCAGUAAGCCCAGAUCCACCAUUUCUUUAUGUCCUCUCGUGACAGGACAAAGCCACCCAAUGCCAAAAGUGUAAGAAGUGCAAAUGAACCAAAUGUGUUAGCAACAAUCAUGUUCCUUCCAACUGA